GACGAACGCUGGCGGCGUGCUUAACACAUGCAAGUCGAACGGAAGGGCCCUGCUUUUGUGGGGUGCUCGAGUGGCGAACGGGUGAGUAACACGUGAGUAACCUGCCCUUGACUUUGGGAUAACUUCAGGAAACUGGGGCUAAUACCGGAUAGGAGCUCCGGCUGCAUGGUGGGGGUUGGAAAGUUUCGGCGGUUGGGGAUGGACUCGCGGCUUAUCAGCUUGUUGGUGGGGUAGUGGCUUACCAAGGCUUUGACGGGUAGCCGGCCUGAGAGGGUGACCGGCCACAUUGGGACUGAGAUACGGCCCAGACUCCUACGGGAGGCAGCAGUGGGGAAUAUUGCACAAUGGGCGGAAGCCUGAUGCAGCAACGCCGCGUGCGGGAUGACGGCCUUCGGGUUGUAAACCGCUUUCGCCUGUGACGAAGCGUGAGUGACGGUAAUGGGUAAAGAAGCACCGGCUAACUACGUG
Molecule: ribosomal RNA, 468 nt
Filed under: uncultured bacterium
Lineage: Bacteria
Description: partial 16S ribosomal RNA
Rfam family: Bacterial small subunit ribosomal RNA
Source: RNAcentral